AUACAAACAACAUUAAAUGGACUC
This 24-nucleotide non-coding RNA is filed under the name Mus musculus (house mouse). Lineage: Eukaryota; Metazoa; Chordata; Mammalia; Rodentia; Muridae. The record is from RNAcentral. RNAcentral also lists the same sequence under 1 other name.